CUCCAAGAGUUUGGGGCGCGGACCGGAGUACCUUGCGUGCAGUUAUGUCGGCGUCGGUAGUGUCUGUCAUUUCGCGGUUCUUAGAAGAGUACUUGAGCUCCACUCCGCAGCGUCUGAAGUUGCUGGACGCGUACCUGCUGUAUAUACUGCUGACCGGGGCGCUGCAGUUCGGUUACUGUCUCCUCGUGGGGACCUUCCCCUUCAACUCUUUUCUCUCGGGCUUCAUCUCUUGUUUUGCCUGAGAAUACAGAUCAACCCACAGAACAAAGCGGAUUUCCAAGGCAUCUCCCCAGAGCGAGCCUUUGCUGAUUUUCUCUUUGCCAGCACCAUCCUGCACCUUGUUGUCAUGAACUUUGUUGGCUGAAUCAUUCUCAUUUACUUAAUUGAGGAGUAGGAGACUAAAAGAAUGUUCACUCUUUGAAUUUCCUGGAUAAGAGUUCUGGAGAUGGCAGCUUAUUGGACACAUGGAUUUUCUUCAGAUUUGCACUUACUGCUAGCUCUGCUUUUUAUGCAGGAGAAAAGCCCAGAGUUCACUGUGUGUCAGAACAACUUUCUAACAAACAUUUAUUAAUCCAGCCUCUGCCUUUCAUUAAAUGUAACCUUUUGCCUUCCAAAUUAAAGAACUCCAUGCCACUCCUCCAUA
Molecule: long non-coding RNA, 643 nt
Filed under: Homo sapiens (human)
Lineage: Eukaryota; Metazoa; Chordata; Mammalia; Primates; Hominidae
Description: long non-coding RNA NONHSAT169060.1
Source: RNAcentral